UUGGGUUAAGUCCGUAACGAGCGCAACCCUUGUCCUUAGUUACCAGCACGUUAUGGUGGGCACUCUAAGGAGACUGCCGGUGACAAACCGGAGGAAGUGGGGAUGACGUCAAGUCAUCAUGGCCCUUACGGCCUGGGCUACACACGUGCUACAAUGGUCGGUACAAAGGGUUGCCAAGCCGCGAGGUGGAGCUAAUCCCAUAAAACCGAUCGUAGUCCGGAUCGCAGUCUGCAACUCGACUGCGUGAAGUCGGAAUCGCUAGUAAUCGUGAAUCAGAAUGUCACGGUGAAUACGUUCCCGGGCCUU
This 306-nucleotide ribosomal RNA is filed under the name uncultured Pseudomonadaceae bacterium. Its description in RNAcentral is "bacterial SSU rRNA". It matches the Rfam family "Bacterial small subunit ribosomal RNA", at positions 1075 to 1382 of the family's 1533-position model. The record is from RNAcentral. Lineage: Bacteria; Pseudomonadati; Pseudomonadota; Gammaproteobacteria; Pseudomonadales; Pseudomonadaceae.